This 253-nucleotide ribosomal RNA is filed under the name uncultured bacterium. RNAcentral's name for it is "partial 16S ribosomal RNA". It matches the Rfam family "Bacterial small subunit ribosomal RNA", at positions 524 to 776 of the family's 1533-position model. The record is from RNAcentral.
UACGUAGGGGGCUAGCGUUGUCCGGAAUCAUUGGGCGUAAAGAGCGUGUAGGCGGCUCGGUAAGUCGGCUGUGAAAGUCCAGGGCUCAACCCUGGAAUGCCAGUGGAAACUGUCGAGCUAGAGUCCGGAAGAGGCGAGUGGAAUUCCUGGUGUAGCGGUGAAAUGCGCAGAUAUCAGGAGGAACACCAAUGGCGAAGGCAGCUCGCUGGGACGGUACUGACGCUGAGGUGCGAAAGCGUGGGGAGCAAACAGG